UACGUAGGGGGCUAGCGUUGUCCGGAAUCAUUGGGCGUAAAGCGCGUGUAGGCGGUCCGGUAAGUCCGCUGUGAAAGUCGGGGGCUCAACCCUCGGAUGCCGGUGGAUACUGUCGGGCUUGAGUACGGAAGAGGCGAGUGGAAUUCCUGGUGUAGCGGUGAAAUGCGCAGAUAUCAGGAGGAACACCAAUUGCGAAGGCAGCUCGCUGGGACGUUACUGACGCUGAGUGAGCGAAAGCCAGGGGAGCAAACGGG
This 254-nucleotide ribosomal RNA is filed under the name uncultured bacterium. RNAcentral's name for it is "partial 16S ribosomal RNA". It matches the Rfam family "Bacterial small subunit ribosomal RNA", at positions 524 to 776 of the family's 1533-position model. The record is from RNAcentral.